RNAcentral lists this ribosomal RNA (486 nucleotides) under uncultured bacterium. RNAcentral's name for it is "partial 16S ribosomal RNA". It matches the Rfam family "Bacterial small subunit ribosomal RNA", at positions 29 to 507 of the family's 1533-position model. The record is from RNAcentral.
AUUGAACGCUGGCGGCAUGCCUUACACAUGCAAGUCGAACGGUAGCACGGGUGCUUGCACCUGGUGGCGUGUGGCGAAAGGGUGAGUAAUACAUCGGAACAUGUCCUGUAGUGGGGGGUAGCACGGCGAGAGCCGGAGUAAUAACGCAUGCGAUCUACGGAUGAAAGCGGGGGACCUUGGGGCCUGGCGUGAUAGGGUGGGGGGAUGGCUGAUUGGCUAGUUGGUGGGGUAAAGGCUUACGAAGGCGACGAUCAGUAGCGGGUCUGAGAGGACGACCGGCCACACUGGGACUGAGACACGGCCCAGACUCCUACGGGAGGCGGCAGUGGGGAAUGUUGGACAAUGGGCGAAAGCCUGAUCCAGCAAUGCCGCGUGUGUGAAGAGGGCCUUCGGGUUGUGAAGCACAUUUGUCCGGAAAGAAAUCCUUGGCUCUAAUACAGUCGUGGGAUGACGGUACCGGAAGAAUAAGCACCGGCUAACUACGUG